Long non-coding RNA from Amphimedon queenslandica, 181 nucleotides. RefSeq lists it as uncharacterized. Lineage: Eukaryota; Metazoa; Porifera; Demospongiae; Haplosclerida; Niphatidae. The record is from RefSeq and is a predicted model, not a curated record. The transcript has 2 exons.
UACAGUCAAACCUGUCUAAAACGGUCACCUUGGGACAUGCAUUUAGUGGCUGUCUUAUGCAGAAACUAUAUAACAAGACUUAAAGAACUUUUAGGUACCCCUAAAGGCCUAAACUGAGUGGUAUAUAGUAUUAUUUCGAAGGUAUUAUUUGAGAUAACAAUUUAACAAAAAUUAAUCAUUA